This is an RNA transcript of Neopelma chrysocephalum (saffron-crested tyrant-manakin), 6843 nucleotides long. It is a transcript of the gene named tensin 3, with no coding region annotated. The transcript is spliced from 33 exons. Lineage: Eukaryota; Metazoa; Chordata; Aves; Passeriformes; Pipridae. The record is from RefSeq and is a predicted model, not a curated record.
GCUGACAACAGGUCGUCUGGAGAGUUGACUGGUGGACAAAUUGAGCCUCAGGAAACAGCUUCAAGGUCUCAUACCUUCAAAACCAAGUCUUUUAAAAAAUCCAGAACCUGUGGAAUCUGCAAACAAGUAAUUGACAGCCAAGGAAUUUCUUGCAGGGUUUGCAAAUAUGCCUGCCACAGGAAAUGUGAAGAAAAGGUAGUGACACCCUGCUUUUUUCCAGGCAACUACGAGCUGGCUAACUCUGAGGUGGUUAAAAAUCAUGUAACCAGAAGCAAUUGCAGCAGCGCUUUGAAGAAUUCUGCUUCCAGUUGUGACAGAGAAUCACGAAGUGCAGACUUUGAUCACAUUAUGGAAGAAGGCUAUGAACUUGACCUCACUUACAUCACAGAGCGGAUUAUUGCUGUAUCUUUCCCUGCUAGCUGUUCUGAGGAAACUUACCUCCACAAUCUACAAGAUGUAACCCGAAUGCUCAAAUCCAAACAUGGCAGUAAUUACUUGGUAUUAAACCUCUCUGAAAAGAGAUAUGACCUUGCCAAGCUUAAUCCAAAGAUUAUGGAUGUGGGGUGGCCUGAUCUCCAUGCUCCGCUUCUUAAUAAGGUAUGCACCAUCUGCAAGGCUAUGGAGUCAUGGCUGAACAAUGAUCCUCAACAUGUGGUGGUAAUACACUGCAGAGGGGGAAAGGGAAGGAUAGGUGUAGUCAUAUCAUCGUAUAUGCACUUCAUCAAUGUUUCUGCAAGUGCUGAUCAGGCUCUAGACAGAUUUGCUAUGAAGAAAUUCUUUGAUGAUAAAGUUUCAGCUUUAAUGCAACCAUCCCAAAGAAGAUACGUGCAAUUCUUAAGUGGCCUUCUAUCUGGAUCUGUGAAAAUGAAUGCAACCCCUCUUUUCCUGCACUAUGUUAUCCUUCAUGGCAUCCCAAGCUUAGAUGCUGGGGGAGCUUGUCGGCCUUUUCUGAAGUUAUACCAGGCUAUGCAACCAGUUUAUACAUCUGGAAUAUAUAUAGGGUCAGAAAAUCAAAACCGAAUCUGCAUUGCUAUAGACCCUGCCCAGCUUUUGAAGGGAGAUAUUAUGAUUAAGUGUUAUCACAAAAAAUACCGUUCAGCUACUCGUGAUGUGAUUUUUCGCCUUCAGUUUCACACUGGAGCUAUUCAAGGACAUGGCCUGGUGUUUGGCAAAGAAGACUUGGACAAUGCCAACAAAGAUGACCGUUUCCCGGAUUACAGCAAAGUGGAAUUAGUGUUUUCAGGAACUCCAGAAAACAUUCAAGGAUGUGAACACUUUCAGAAUGAUCAUGGAGUAAUAGUUGAUUACAAUACCUCAGGCCCACUAAUACGCUGGGAUUCCUAUGAAAAUAUGAGCCCUGAUGGGGAAGUGCUGCAUACCCAAGGUCCCAUUGAUGGCAGUCUCUAUGCAAAAGUGAGAAAGAAGAGCUCUUCAGACAGCAACAUCCCUGGUGUUGCUCAGGGUGCUCCUGUGACUGGCAGUCCUGAUCACAGUGAUCAUACCCUGUCUGUUGGUAGUGAUUCAGGACACUCCACAGCUUCCAUCAGGACAGACAAGACUGAGGAACACCGUAUGCCAGGAGUCAAAUGUGGUCUGAGCCCACAAGAGAAGGCAGAACUGGACCAGCUCCUUAAUGGCUUUGGUCUGGAGGAUUCUGUGAACACCACCAAGGAUAUGACUGAUGCUCAAAGCAAGUACAGUGGGACUCACCACAUAGUGCCAGCUCAAGUUCACAUGAAUGGAGUCACCAAAGUGAAGGACAGGGAGACUGAUAUUCUGGAUGACGAAAUGCCUAAUCAUGACCUUCACAGUGUGGACAGCAUUGGAACUUUGUCUUCCUCAGAAGGGCAGCACUCCACCCACCUAGGAAACUUUAGUUGUCACAAGAGCAGUCAGAACUCACUGCUUUCAGAUGGCUUUGGAAGUAAUGCUGGGGAAGAGCAUCAUAAUGCUUUUGCUGCAGACCUGGGAAUUGGUGUGGAUCUCCUCUAUGAGAGAUCAUUUGCAAGAACUGAGCCAAAGUCAACUCAGCAAUUGCAACAGAAUCCUUCUGACUCAGCCCGUCCUCAAGCCUAUGGCCCAAGUAACUACUCUACUCAGACCUGGGUGCGCCAGCAGCAGAUGGUCACUGCUCACCAAUAUGGUUUUGCCCCAGAGAAUGAAAUUAGGGUUGGCAUUCAUAACGCUGUGGAGAAUUUGGGCAAUGUCCAGAGCCAAUCUCGAGUCCCAAACACGCCAACACGUGGCUCCAGCAGCAGAGAUGCUGUGCAGAGAGGACUAGGAAGUAUGCUGGGGGCUGCAGAAGCUGAGGAACAUGCAAGUGCUGAGAGUUUUAAGUCAAGGCUAGUGCUUCAGAGGAACACAAAUGGCCUGAAUCUAGGACAGAACGCUGGGGACUUGCCAGCUUCUCCAACUUUGGAUAUUGAUCAGUCCAUUGAACAACUGAACAGGCUCAUCUUGGAGUUAGACCCUACAUUUGAACCUAUCCCAACCCGCAUUAACACUGUCACCAGCGAUGGAAAUCAAGUAAAUGGCUUUGCCAGCCUUGAUGUAAAUGUGCAAGAGUUUGAGAUUAGUCCUGUAGGCCAUGAGAAAUUAGCGGUCACAAACAGGAAUCACUCCCAGCAUGCAACAGGUAUGCGAGAUGAUGGUGCAACAGGGAAAAGGAUGAGAAAGUUAAGUGUUGGGCAGUAUGACAAUGAUGUCCCUGGGCAGCCAUCGUGUAACAGGUGUGGAUGGAUGACGUCUCCUGCUACUGAUGAGGCCAUAAUUCUAGGAUCACCAGUUGCUCUAGAGGAGACCAAGGAGAUGGUUGCUGUAAGUUAUCAAGAUGAAAUAGGUGUAGAAAUCUCCACAACAAAAAACGGAAGUGAAUCUGUCGCAUCCAUGCCAGUUUUUUCCCUGUCACCAGAGAUGACAUAUGUGACAACACCUCCACUAUACCAUCAGCGGAUUCUCUCCAGCCAAAAGGUCAGCAGCCCAUCUGAGCUGUACAGAACCAUUCCUGAAUCUCAAAGUUACAUGGAAGCCAUUAACCACUCUGUGGUGAUGUCUGACAGCACUGUGGGCACUAAUCCUUCUUUGCUGAGGACCAACAUGCAGAGGGAUCUCCCCUUUCAGCACUGUUUUGCAUCUUCUUGUACUGUUUCAAGUAACAGUCCUAUCCCAGGGGCAGAAAGCUCUUCUGCAACAGAACGUCUUUGGCUUGAAAGCAGCCCUAAAGCUUGCUUAUCACCUCAGUUUUCAACGGGAAACACCAGGCAGCCAGGAGGUUACCUUGUGCCCUCUGAAUUUUCAAAUGCUGUGCAAGAUGUCUCUCUCUUGUCUCAUUUCCAAACUCCAGGACUGCAAGUCGUCACCCUGAGCAACCUGGAGAAUUCACCAGCAGAACCACAGCAAGAACAUGCUAUCAGUAACAGUGCCCGUGCCUACCUGAGCUACAGUGGGGCUGUCAGGGGCAGUAGCUCUCCUGGAGAGGAGACACAAGCUACUUGCAUAGCCAAUGCUAGCACCUCUCCUAAAACCCUGAGCUCAUCAGUGGCAAGUGCUGAGGAGAGUGGCUUUUUGACACAAAACUUUAUUAGAGGGACCUCUGGAGACAAUAGCCAGAACAGUGCAGUUCAGCAGCACCAUGGAGGGAACGUACGUGCUCAACCGCCUCUUCCAGAGAAGAAGAGGUCCUCUGAAGGAGAACGUUUCUUUGCCUCCGUGUCACCUUCUUCAAGUGGCUUCUCUAGCCCUCACAGUGGAAGCACAAUCAGCAUUCCCUUCCCAAACGUCCUCCCAGAUUUCUCAAAGAUGUUAAGCCCUUCCCCAGUGCCAGAAAACACAGCUGAUAAACAUGUGACCGUAAAAUUUGUUCAGGACACAUCCAAAUUCUGGUAUAAACCCGAUAUUUCACGAGAACAAGCCAUUGCUGUUCUCAAGGACAAGGAACCUGGGUCAUUCAUUGUUCGAGACAGUCAUUCUUUCCGGGGAGCCUAUGGACUAGCAAUGAAAGUUGCUACACCACCUCCUUCUGUGCUGCAGUUAAAGAAAGUUGCAGAUUUGUCAAAUGAACUUGUAAGGCAUUUUCUGAUUGAAUGUACUCAGAAGGGGGUACGCUUGAAAGGAUGCCCGAAUGAACCAUAUUUUGGGAGUUUGACAGCUCUGGUGUAUCAGCAUUCCAUCACUCCACUGGCAUUGCCCUGCAAGCUCCUCAUCCCAGACAGAGAUCCCUUGGAGGAUAUAGCAGAAACUUCUCCACAAACUGCUGCAAACUCAGCUGCAGAGCUUCUCAAACAGGGUGCAGCAUGUAAUGUGUGGUACCUGAAUUCAGUGGAGAUGGAAUCCCUCACAGGCUACCAGGCAGUACAGAAAGCUUUGAGCUUGACACUGAUGCAAGAUCCUUCUCCUGUCUCAACCGUUGUCCAUUUCAAGGUGUCUGCACAGGGAAUCACGCUGACAGAUAAUCAAAGAAAACUCUUUUUUCGGCGACAUUAUUCAGUCAAUACUGUUAUUUUCUGUGCUUUGGAUCCACAGGACAGAAAAUGGAUGAAAGAUGGCCUUUCUGCGAAAGUGUUUGGGUUCAUUGCCAGGAAGCAAGGCAGUGCCACAGACAACGUAUGCCACCUCUUUGCAGAGCAUGAUCCAGAGCAACCUGCCAGUGCCAUUGUGAACUUUGUAUCAAAGGUCAUGAUUGGAUCUCAGAAGAAGAUCUGAUGCCUUUCCAUCCUUGAUUCAGAGCUCUUCGCUGACUUCACUGAAGGAAAUCACUGUGAGAGGGAGAAAGGCUAUUCAGCAACAGUCUGAACCUUGUCAUUCCCACUUGUGCAUAGGCACCUGUGCUGUUUUCUGCAACCUUUCACCACCAAGCCUGACAUUUUCUGCAACAAGUUUCACCGCCAAAGGCAUGUCUAAGGCUUAUGCUGCACUCUUUCCUUACAGAGAGGGACAACGCCUUGAUACUGUGCCCGCACAGCUCAGCAAUAAUGGAAACAUCUCUGUGUUAUCCACAGUGUUUUCAGCACAAAUCCAAAUACAUCCCCAUAGGAGCUACUGUGAAGAGAAUUAACUCUACCCCAGCCCAAAACUUUUAUAACUAUUGAAAGGCAUUUAAAAAAUAGUGCAAUCAUCAGGUACAGUCAACAUGGUUUCACAAAAUCCUAUUGAACUAUUUUGCUGUCUUUUUAUGAUGAGGUCACCCGCUUAGUGGAUGAAGGGAAGGUGAUGGAUGUAAUUUUUCUGGAUUUUAGUAAGGCUUUUGAUAUUGUCCUUUCCAGCAUCCUUCAAGACAAGUUGUCCAGUUGUGGAAUGAGCAGGUUCAUGGUGCGCUGGGUGACGAACUGGCUGAAGGGCAUAGCUCAAGUGUUGCAGUAAGUGGGGCUACAUCUGUCUGGUCACUGGUCACCAGUGGCAUUCCUCAGGGCUCAAUUCUAGGGCCAGUUCUGUUCAAUAUGCUUCCCAGUGACUGGAUGCAGGAUUUGAAUGCACCAUUACCAGAUUUGCUGAUGGUAACAAACUGGCAGAUGCUGCUGACUCUCUUGAGAGACAAGAUGCCUUGCAGAGGGAUCUGAAUAUCUUGGAGCAUUGGGCAAUGAUGAAUGGGACUAAAUGUAAUGAGUCCAAAUGCAUCUGGAACACAGUAGCAUGAGGCACAAGUCUAAAUUAGGUGAGGAGUGGCUGGCAGGCAGUCCUGCAGAAAGGGGCCUGGGAGUGCUGGUCGGCAUCUUGCUCAGUAUCAGUCAGCAGUGCGUGCCCGGGCAGCCCAGAGGGCGAAACAUGUCCUGGGAUGCAUCAAACACACCUUCACCAAUCGGUCCAAAGAGUUGAUUAUCCUUCUGUAUUCAGUGUUGGCACCGCCUCACCUUGAGUAUUGUGUGAGACCCACCAUUUAAAAAUUAUGUGAAGGUUCUUGAAUGCAUCCAGAAGAAGGCAACAAAGUUGACAAAGGGACUGGCAGGCAUGUACUCUGAGGAGCAGCUAAGGACACUGGGUUUGUGUAGUUUGGGGGGAAGGAGACUCAGGGUUAACUACACUGCUCUCUACAGCUUCCUGAGGAGGGGAAGUGGAGAGGCAGGUGCUGAUCUGUUCUCCCUGCUACCCAGUGCCAGGACUCUGCCAAUGGCUGAAACCUGCAUCUUUCAGAUUUGACACAAGGAAAUAUUUCUUACCAAGAGGGCCGUCAAACCCUGGAAGAGUGUGAGCGCCCAGAUUUGUAUCUCACUGGGUUAUUUGAUUGUUGGGUCGAAUCAACCGUCUUGUCUGUGUGUAUGUGGUGGAGGGGGGGAGAGGGCCAGGCAUCCAGUAUCAGUGUCCACUAGGUAAGGCCUGCAGCCAACAUGGCUGAGUGCCUGGAAGCCAUGUGGCUGUGGGUGGCAUGUCAAUCAAAAAAGGCCUGUCUGGUAGCCCACCCACACCACACCCCCUGGAGCCUCUGAUUGGCUGCACCACCUCUCUUUCUGGCCUGGAUGCCAUUGAGUGAUCAGUGAGCUGGAUGUCCUGCCUGGCAGGGGUGGCCACAUUGAAUAGGGGACAAAAAUAGAGGUGCAGAGGGCCUCUGUGUUGGCCUGCCUUCUCUCGUGGGACCUGCUGUCAAGUGACCUCUGGUGGUAGCACAAGUUUCUUCUGCUAACCUCUUUCUUUACUUCUUUCUUCUUUUAAUCUCUUUCUUUCUUUACUCUUUUCUUUCGUAAUCUCUUGUGGGUAACUUAAAACUGAUGGGUUGUAUUUCAUUAAAAAUUGUGGUAGUUGUGUGUUGGGUGCUUUAGUUAAAUACUUCUCCUUGCUUGUAUUUUACUCCUGUAAAACCUUUUGCCAAAAUGCUUAUUUUCUCACUAAAUUAAAAGAAAUCUCUUGGGAAAA